GGCAUAUGGUUACCAUAUAAUUCAUCUCUUUGACCCUAAUGCUCAAGAACGACCUAAGAUUUAACUAUCAAUCCUAGAUAAGUCAUCUAUAUUGUAUUUCAAUCUUUCAAAUCUAUCACAUGGAUUAUUCGAGCUCAGAUUUUGCUAAAUUGAAAUACAUUGAUAGAUAACUCUUACUAAUUUGGAGGGAUCAAUCCCAUC
This 201-nucleotide long non-coding RNA is filed under the name Elaeis guineensis (African oil palm). RNAcentral's name for it is "long non-coding RNA (EGUI_LNC050523)". The record is from RNAcentral. Lineage: Eukaryota; Viridiplantae; Streptophyta; Magnoliopsida; Arecales; Arecaceae.